Molecule: long non-coding RNA, 609 nt
Filed under: Homo sapiens (human)
Lineage: Eukaryota; Metazoa; Chordata; Mammalia; Primates; Hominidae
Description: HSALNT0390391
Source: RNAcentral
AAGAGAGCAACAGAAGAAAAGUAUAGAACCUCGUGUCACCAACUGCUUUCUGUGGAGAGGGGGAUGGAGCUGGAGCUGAGAUGGAGGCAGCAGAAUGGGCAAACCUUCAGUCCUAACAACCUGCCUGCCCUAGCCUCCACACUUUUCCUUAAAAAAAAAUGUAUAUAAUUUAUAAUAUAGGCAGCUCUUUCAGGAUCUCUCACCAUCCCUGAGCCCUCUAAAAACUGUAAUUGAUGGGGGUGGGAUGUAUAGAUAUGAAUGUUCUAGAGCAGAAAAACCGGGGGCUAGAAGUGUACCUCAAUAAACCUCAAAUGGGAACAAAUUUGAGGUUUUGGGAAAGUUGGAAGGGAACGUGUUUUGUGCCUUUUGGGUUUGAAAUGUGUUUUCUUAUUUUUUAAAGGAUAAUUGAGGAAAAAAAAAAAUCAAGAUUUGGGGGGAAUUACCUACAAAGAUGUAAGGUGUGUUAAUUUGGGCGCUUCUUGGAUUCUACCCUGAGGAGGAGGCGCGUGGUGAGAGGAGAGAUCUUGAUCUGCCGCUCGCUGAGGUUCAGCAGGUUGGCCAUCUCUACACGGCGAGGCCGGCACAGGUAGCGGUUAAAAUGGAACUCCU